Molecule: ribosomal RNA, 405 nt
Filed under: Triticum aestivum (bread wheat)
Lineage: Eukaryota; Viridiplantae; Streptophyta; Magnoliopsida; Poales; Poaceae
Description: partial small subunit ribosomal RNA
Source: RNAcentral
AUGUGUGACCAUGCCGUCAGCGCCACCACCACAUAUGCCCUCUGGCACAAGAUUCAGGCCUUCUUUCUUGCCAAUCGCGAUGCGCGGUUCAUGAUCCUCAAUCGCCAGUAUCGCAACUUAAAACAGGGCGAUCUCUCCGUGUCCGACUACGCCCGCCGCAUGAAGCUCCUCACCGAUGCUCUCGCCGACAUCAACCACGCGGUCAUUGAGGUGGAUCUCACCACCCAAUUCCUCCAUGGCUUGGACAAGCGCCUCGACACCAUCCGCGUCGUCCUCGGCGAUCAAGGGCUUCCCUUCGACACCGUCCUCUCCCGCGUCGUCCUGGCCGAGGAGUCCCAGGCGCAGCGCGCGUCUGAGGAGAGCGCCUCCGCCUUCGCUCUGCCUGGCGGUGGCCACUCGGGCGGU